RNAcentral lists this ribosomal RNA (468 nucleotides) under uncultured bacterium. RNAcentral describes it as "partial 16S ribosomal RNA". It matches the Rfam family "Bacterial small subunit ribosomal RNA", at positions 28 to 507 of the family's 1533-position model. The record is from RNAcentral.
GACGAACGCUGGCGGCGUGCUUAACACAUGCAAGUCGAACGGAAAGGCUCCAGCUUGCUGGAGUACUCGAGUGGCGAACGGGUGAGUAACACGUGGGUGAUCUGCCCUGCACUUCGGGAUAAGCCUGGGAAACUGGGUCUAAUACCGGAUAGGACCGCACUUUGGUGUGUGUGGUGGAAAGGUUUUUCUGGUGUGGGAUGAGCUCGCGGCCUAUCAGUUUGUUGGUGGGGUAAUGGCCUACCAAGACGGCGACGGGUAGCCGGCCUGAGAGGGUGGACGGUAACAUUGGGACUGAGAUACGGCCCAGACUCCUACGGGAGGCAGCAGUGGGGAAUAUUGCACAAUGGGGGAAACCCUGAUGCAGCGACGCCGCGUGGGGGAUGAAGGCCUUCGGGUUGUAAACUCCUUUCGCUAGGGACGAAGCUUUUUGUGACGGUACCUGGAGAAGAAGCACCGGCUAACUACGUG